UCACUUACAUGUCCACAUUCCAUAUCUGGGACCAGGCCUCUGAAGCUUGGUCCCACUCAUGCCUAGGCCUCUUGAGAGAGUCCGAGUCUCAAAGAAAGUUUGGAGAACAUGGCCAAGGAAUACAGCUCUCAAGCCUUUGCUCAUUAGUAGCAUAUAGAAGAACUUUUGAAAUUCAGCAUCUGGUGGAAAUAGAAGCAGACACCCACAACUAAUCACUGAACUGAACUGGAAUCCAGAUGCAGAAAAGGACGAGUGAAGAGCAAAGUGGUCCAGACCAGGCUGGUGAAACCCACAGAAACAGCUGACCUGAACACUGGGGAACUCUUGCUCCCCAGACUGAUAGCUGGGAUACCAGCAUGGGACUGAUCCAGACCCCAGGAACAUGGGUUUCAGUGAGGAAACCUCACAAAUCUACGGGACCUCCUAGUAGUUCAGUACUUAUCCCUAGCAUAGUUGUAGACUUUGGGAGCCCAUUCCACAUAGAGGAAUACUCCCUGAGCCAAGACACACAGGGUUGGGCCUAGGCUCUGUCUCAAAGGAUACAAUAGACUCUGAUGACACCCAAUGGAAUGCCUCACCAUCCAGGUGGGGCAGAAAGGAUAUGUGAUUGGUAGGGUUUUAGUUGCAGGGGAGGUAAAGGAGGACAGGAGGGAUAAGGGAACUGGGAUUUUCAUGUAAAACAAUCUUGUUUCUAAUUCAAAUAAAAAAUCUGC
This 713-nucleotide long non-coding RNA is filed under the name Cricetulus griseus (Chinese hamster). Its description in RNAcentral is "lncRNA (ENSCGRG00015042211.1)". Lineage: Eukaryota; Metazoa; Chordata; Mammalia; Rodentia; Cricetidae. The record is from RNAcentral.